UCCCAAUAUCUUUUUUGUUCCUUCUCACAUAAACUUUCAGAGGCUUUGAGCUAUCACUCUUUUUCGUAUCAUCUUCUACAUAAACCUUCUUCUCCUUCAUCUUAUCUAUGUCAUUUUCUAUGUAGACCCUUUCCUCAGUGUCUUCUUCUAUAUCUUCCUCAUACAUUUUGGCCUACCCAAGAUUUAAAAGAAGGAAAAGAUCAGGUAAAGUUACAAUAGAAAAUAUUUCAGUAUACCAAACAAUAUUGUAUAUAUAAUAAUGUAAAGUAACAUAUUACAAGGGUAAAUGUUUUUCGAAUAGAAAUUUUCAUUGUAGGUGAAGAAAAAUGUUGUUGCAAAGAGUGUACAUGAGAGAGAAGAGGUGUGAAAAACAAAAUGUAAUUACAAUUAUAUCAUUUUUAUUUACAGGAAGAUGAUAGUUUUAUCCUUAAAACUAAAGGAAAAAAGAAUAUUUCUAGUAUCGAAGAGGAUAUUGGUCAAGUUGCAAAAACUAUUGCAGUGGGAAUGACCUAUAUAACAUGGUUGAGAAAAUUAGAGUGGUACAUAUAAAUUAGUAAAUUAUUAACUCAUUAAUAUUGAUGGCAUAUGUUAGUUUGAAUGUACAUGCAUGGCUUUGGUUAUUUGGUAAAUGAUGGUUGCUAGCAAACUUCAUUUAAAUGAACAGAUGUACAAAUAAAACAAUAUUGUACUUCUACCAAGAAAUAUAGGGUCAAUAAUUUGCAAAAGAAGAGGAUAUUUAAAAACGGUUUCAUACACAACCUUAUUAUUAAUCGAGUAUUGAUCAAAAUUAAUUUUAUAUUAGUUUUAAGGAUAAAAAUAUCAUUACAAAUAUAAAUAGAAUAAUAUAAUUAUCAUUUCGUUUUGCUUUUUAUUUUAUUUUGCACAACAUUUCGCUCUUCAGUAUCUGAUCUUACUCUUAUUAAUCAUGGUCUACACUUAAUGAUAAUUGCAACCGUAUGCUGUCAACACACGAUCUCAGAAACUGCCUAUAACUUUUGUACAACCUAGGCGAAUGAAUUUUCAGGUUUUCAAACUCUUAUAUUCUCAGAAAUAUCUCAACGUGAAUUCAAAGUUGAAUUUGAACUCACUACUCUAAUACAAUGAAAAGUUCUCCUGUCCACUAGCUUCUAUGUUAUGAGAAGAAGAAACUUAAGCUCUUGAGCAUACUAACAAAUCAAGCUAACACACUUCGAAGAGAAAUCUAAGCUACAUUCACAAGACUAUAUUGUAUAUUCACUCAAUGAGUGUUACCCAUUGUAAUAGUUGGCCUUAUCUAUGUUGUAAACUUAAAAUUCUUUCAUUUUUAAUUGUUAGGUUGCGUUCAAAUAUAUUUUAUUAUUUUGGGUUAUAUUUAUUGGGCUAGUAAUCAGCUUAAAUUUAUUUACCUUUUGUAUAAUUUCUAUGAUUAAAAUAUAUUAAUUAGUUAGAAUUUAAGUAGUUAUAAUUUAGGUAGAGUUAACUCUUUUAUAUUUUGUAUAUAAUAAGUUAGACUAAUUUCUUUGUAAUGAAUUCAAUAUCAUAUAAGUCAAUAAAUGGUGCAUUCUAUCAAUGAAAUAUACAAUUCUUUUAUUGCUCCUUCAUUUCAAAUAUGGUAUGAGAGCAAAGUAAUUUAGGCAUUCUAUGGUGUAGAUGAAAAGAGUUGUUCAAGGAAAGAAAUGUUGGAAGAAGAAAAUGCAAUUGUUCAAAGGGAUUCUUACAUUUUUGAGUUCAACAACUAGGUUUUAAGCCAAAAUCAAAGUAUUCUUAUUCAUUUUCUUGCUCUAUUUCUUUAUCAUUCUCUUUUACACUAUUCUCUUGUUACUUUCGAGCAAAAAUUACUCAUAUUACAUCAUAUUUUUCUCUUGUUAUUCUUGAGUAAAACUGCUCAUAUUUUAUCAUAUUAUUCUUUUGUUAUUCUGGAGCAAAAAAUGCUCAUAUUAUUAUUAUCUUGUUAUUCUUGAAGAAGUAUUGUUCAUAUUUCAUCAUAUUCUAGAUUUCUCUCAUUCUUUAGUCAAGAAACCAAUUCAGAUGAAUUCUUGAGUAUUGUUAUUCUUGAACAAAUAUUAUUCAUUUCAUCAUAUUCUAAAUUUCUCUCAUUCUUUGGUCAAGAAAUCAAGAUGGUAUUUGAGCAUCCAAUAAUAUUAUUUGAUAUUUUUUAUCUUCAUUUUUUUGUGUUGAUUCUUAAUGAACAACAUCAUUACUUUCAAUUUCAAUUUAUUAUCUCCUAAAAAUUCUUUUAUUUAUUCUAUUAAUUAUCUCAGUACAAUCUUGCUAAUUUUGUGCUAUAUUUUGAAGAAUUCUUUUAUUUCUUGAAAUUUCUUUUAUUCCUUGAAAUUUCUUUUAUUCAAAUGUCUUCUUUUACUAUCUUUCUAUACAAUCCUUAAGUUGCAUGAACAUUGAUUGAAAUUGUUGAACAAAGACAUCCAUGGGACAUAUGCAAACUCAAGAGAGAGAUACAAAGACAUGCACUGAAAAAUUAAUUAGUGGCCUUCCAGCAAAGGCUUUGGAGCUUUCUCCAUUCAAUCAUCUUUUGUUCACGUUAAAAGUUGUCAAUAUUCACUCUCCAGUUUGAAUGAGUGUUAAAAUAUAAUUUGUUAUAAUAUUGUAUUGAAUUAGUAAUUAUUUUAAACACAUUUAUCUUUAGCAUAAUUUCCAUGAUCAAAACAUGUAUAAAUAAAUUAGUUAGUUGGAAGUUAGGUAAAGUUAAAUCACUUAUAUUUUCUAUAUAAUAGGUUGAUUAAUUUCUCUGUAACAUUUCAUUCAAUUCAAUAUCAUGUAAUUCUUUCAAUUAAUAAAAUAUACAAUUUUUUUGCUCCUUGAUUUUUAAUAUGAUGAGAAGGUAGGUUUUAAAAGUGCAUUGAUGGAGUCUACAUGCCUUGGGUUUGAAAAUAGUAUUUGUUUAGAGCUUACAUAGUAUAGAUAUGGAAAGAAUAUUUGUAAUAUACUCGUUUUUAGUGAAAACAUGUUACUCGUUGUGUGAAGUACAAGAUGUUGUAAGUUGUCUGUCAUUUGGAGGUAAACUAGAAUAAAAAAUGUAGUAUUUUAUAUAUCUCUAUCACUGACCCUCUUCAAUUCAAUUUUCUUUAUCAACUGUUUGAGGUAAUUGGGUUAAUGGAACUUAAUGAAAUCAUUUUUCAAACUAUUCUAAGUAUUGCUCAAACUGUAUGCUCUCGUAAAAUGAAAUUCAUAAGAAAAUAACACUUGUAUAAAACAAGUACUACAUAACGAAAAUAAUAUAAGAAAAUAAUUUAGAUGAACUUCAGAAAAUAUGAGAUGAUGUAAUUAAACCAAUAAUGAUAAUUAAGGUUAACAAUGAACCGAACUCGAUAUUUAUUUGAGUCUCGUCUCAUCGUUUAUCUCAAUAAACAUAGUUCAUGUACCAUACGAGUCAAAUUUGAACAAAAAAUUAAGUCGUUGAAUAUAUGAGUCAAACUUUAGCCAAAUAUAGUUUAACGUGUUAAGUUUAUGAGCUUACUCGAUUAUAUAUGUAUAUAAAUCGUAUAUGUACACAUAGCUAGAGAGUAUUUAAUUUUAUACAUAGUAAAUAAAUAAUCAUCAUUUAAGCUGACGAACUGAAACUAUCUAACUAAUGAGUUAGCUGAACAGCUUGUGAACUUUUGACGAUCUAAACCAAUUCAGUCAAAGCAAAUUUCAAUCAAUUCGAAUUCAAAUUGAAAACAUAGCUCAUUUCAAACACAAAUUGAAUUUUUUACCAAACAAAUUCUUAUAGAGUUGAACCAAACUAAGCUUUGAUUCGAAUCAGUUUGUUUCCAUCUCUAAUAAUAAUAGUUAAAUUGUGUUUAAAAAUAGAUCUAACUGGAUAAUAAUAUAACUUAAAUAAUUUGGAUACAACUCAAUAUGAAUGUGUCUUUCAAUAUGACAAUGCAUUCACCACAAAUGUCAUACAUGUAUUAAGAUCAAAUCUUUUAAAGUGAUAUUUAAAAUCAAAACCAUGGUAGAUUGGCCCAAACAAGUCACUAGAUGGAGUCGCGAAUUUCCUAUUGUUUCAUUCGAAUCAUAUAACUAUGUUGAAAGUCACAAUUACCUAAUAAUCCACAAAUUUUAUAAUAAAUAAACAAUUAUUACAAACAUAUCUUACAAAAUAAUAUGACAUAAUUACCUUGUGGCUGAAGAUUUCUGGUGUCAAUGGUGGUGGAGGUAUUUGAUCCCCAUAAUUGAUUCGACGCCUAAAACGACGACGUCUAUAUAUAAUACUGGAAAUGAAAAUAAGUAAGAAAUAAUAGAUAAAGGAAAAAAAGAAGAAAGAAAGACAAAGAUGAGUACCCAAUAAAGUUAGGCCUAUAACGAAUGUUUGCUUGAGCAGCCAUAGUCUAACUCAGUAAAUGAGGACAAAGACACAGAGACUGAAAUUUUAGACAAAGGGUGAAACAAGUUUUUGGAUAUAGAAAAU
RNAcentral lists this long non-coding RNA (4390 nucleotides) under Lupinus angustifolius (narrow-leaved blue lupine). RNAcentral's name for it is "long non-coding RNA (LANG_LNC002097)". The record is from RNAcentral. Lineage: Eukaryota; Viridiplantae; Streptophyta; Magnoliopsida; Fabales; Fabaceae.